GGAGAAUUACCCAAGUGGUUGAAGGGGUCGGUCUUGAAAACCGAUAGGGGAUGCAAGUCCCGCUAGAGUUCGAAUCUCUAAUUCUCCGCCA
RNAcentral lists this transfer RNA (91 nucleotides) under Bacilli bacterium. Its description in RNAcentral is "tRNA-Ser". It matches the Rfam family "tRNA". From Rfam's summary of the family: Transfer RNA (tRNA) molecules are approximately 80 nucleotides in length. The record is from RNAcentral. Lineage: Bacteria; Bacillati; Bacillota; Bacilli. RNAcentral also lists the same sequence under 3 other names.